This is a long non-coding RNA of Anneissia japonica, 262 nucleotides long. RefSeq lists it as uncharacterized. The record is from RefSeq and is a predicted model, not a curated record. Lineage: Eukaryota; Metazoa; Echinodermata; Crinoidea; Comatulida; Comatulidae. The transcript has 3 exons.
AAAUUUUUGUAUGUGGUGAUUUUGAAUUUGUACUAUUGGAACAAGUGUGUGAUGGAAUCAUUGAUUGUGCUGACUUCAGUGACGAGCUACAGUCUUGCCCUUGUAGUGACGGCAGUUUUCAGUGUGCGAAUGGUGUCUGUAUUGCCGCUGAGAAACGAUGUGACCGAGAAAAUAACUGUCUCGAUUGGUCAGAUGAACAAGGCUGCUGGAAUGUUACUUCUGAAAAAUGUGGAUCACAACCUUUCUUACCUGCUGAAGAUAG